CGACGGGGAGAACGUGCUAUGUAUAGGCGCCGAGCUACAGGUGCCGUCAAUUAGCACGGAUUCCUCCGAGCCCGGCAGCUCCGCCCGUGCACCCCCCGCCCUCCAUCCCCGCCCCAGGGGCUGCCGCGGGCGGAGUGGCGGGGGGAGGACCGGAGGAGGCAGGGGAGCCUCGGGGCCGGCCGCUGCCAGCCUCUGCCAGUGCCUCCAACAGUACCUCUAACCCUGGUCCGGAGGAUGCUGCUUGCCCUUCUCCAUCGCCCCCGUGUGAGGGAGCAGCGGGUUGCUCUCCCGAGAGGCUGGAGGGCUCAGCGACCGGCAGCGGACACGAUGCCCCAUGAGCUGACACAGAGCUGUCUGUGCUGUGAGGAAGACCACAGAAUGCCUUGAAAUGGAAAGCAGCAGAAAGGACCUCCAGUUCAGGGAGCUGUCUCAAACACCACUUGAGCAUACAGUAGUUUUUAUAGAAGAGGUAUUUAUAGCCACAUGCUCGUAAUAAAGCAGCAAAGACAAGACA
RNAcentral lists this long non-coding RNA (514 nucleotides) under Anser cygnoides (Swan goose). RNAcentral's name for it is "lncRNA (ENSACDG00005013178.1)". The record is from RNAcentral. Lineage: Eukaryota; Metazoa; Chordata; Aves; Anseriformes; Anatidae.